UGGGAUGUAGCUCGGUGGCAGAGUGUCGGCUUAGCAUGUGUGAGGCCCUGGGUUCAGUCCCCAGCACCACUG
RNAcentral lists this transfer RNA (72 nucleotides) under Mus musculus (house mouse). RNAcentral's name for it is "tRNA-Ala". The record is from RNAcentral. Lineage: Eukaryota; Metazoa; Chordata; Mammalia; Rodentia; Muridae.